Molecule: long non-coding RNA, 275 nt
Organism: Oncorhynchus tshawytscha (Chinook salmon)
Lineage: Eukaryota; Metazoa; Chordata; Actinopteri; Salmoniformes; Salmonidae
Source: Ensembl
CUUCACUGACGGCAAACCCUUACUCGCUCUACUACCUCUGGCCAAUACAAUGCUAUUGUAUCCCUCUUAAAAGGACCUGAGCCCUUGGACCAUGCUUCAGGACUACCUGCCAUGAUGACUCCUUGCUGUCCCCAGUCCACUCGGCCUUGCUGCUGUUCCAGUUUCAACUGUUCUGCCUGCGGCUAUGGAACCCUAAACUGUUCAUUUUUACUCUUGAGGUGCUGUCCUGUUGCACCCUCUACAACCACUGUGAUCUCCACCCGGCACAGCCAGAA